Molecule: ribosomal RNA, 367 nt
Filed under: uncultured organism
Description: bacterial SSU rRNA
Rfam family: Bacterial small subunit ribosomal RNA
Source: RNAcentral
CGGAGGAUCCAAGCGUUAUCCGGAAUCAUUGGGUUUAAAGGGUCCGUAGGCGGUUUUGUAAGUCAGUGGUGAAAGCCCAUCGCUCAACGGUGGAACGGCCAUUGAUACUGCAAGACUUGAAUUAUUGGGAAGCAACUAGAAUAUGUAGUGUAGCGGUGAAAUGCUUAGAUAUUACAUGGAAUACCAAUUGCGAAGGCAGGUUGCUACCAAUACAUUGACGCUGAUGGACGAAAGCGUGGGGAGCGAACAGGAUUAGAUACCCUGGUAGUCCACGCCGUAAACGAUGGAUACUAGCUGUUCGGAGCAAUCUGAGUGGCUAAGCGAAAGUGAUAAGUAUCCCACCUGGGGGAGUACGUUCGCAAGAAUG